ACCAACUGUUGAUGGUGUACCUCGGUAGCCCCGUCAACCAUGCCUGGGCGGCUGUGGUCAGCAUGACUAGCAGGCAGUUUGCCAUGACUAGUUGGUC
This 97-nucleotide small nucleolar RNA is filed under the name Oryza sativa Indica Group (long-grained rice). Its description in RNAcentral is "Small nucleolar RNA Z256". The record is from RNAcentral. Lineage: Eukaryota; Viridiplantae; Streptophyta; Magnoliopsida; Poales; Poaceae.